UGGGGAAUUUUGCGCAAUGGGCGAAAGCCUGACGCAGCAAUACCGCGUGAGUGAUGAAGGCUCUUGGGUCGUAAAGCUCUGUCAGAGGGGAAGAACCUCCUGUCGUUUAAUACGCGACAGGCCUGACGGUACCCUCAGAGGAAGCACCGGCUAACUCCGUGCCAGCAGCCGCGGUAAUACGGAGGGUGCAAACGUUGUUCGGAAUUAUUGGGCGUAAAGAGCAUGUAGGCGGCUCGCCAAGUCUGAUGUGAAAGCCCUGGGCUCAACCCAGGAAGUGCAUUGGAAACUGGCGAACUUGAGUACGGGAGAGGAAAGUGGAAUUUCGAGUGUAGGGGUGAAAUCCGUAGAUAUUCGAAGGAACACCAGUGGCGAAGGCGGCUUUCUGGACCGAUACUGACGCUGAGAUGCGAAAGCGUGGGGAGCAAACA
RNAcentral lists this ribosomal RNA (428 nucleotides) under uncultured bacterium. Its description in RNAcentral is "bacterial SSU rRNA". It matches the Rfam family "Bacterial small subunit ribosomal RNA", at positions 355 to 774 of the family's 1533-position model. The record is from RNAcentral.